Non-coding RNA from Pantherophis guttatus, 976 nucleotides. The record is from RefSeq and is a predicted model, not a curated record. NCBI's taxonomy places the organism in Eukaryota, Metazoa, Chordata, Lepidosauria, Squamata, Colubridae.
AAGCCAAAGAUAAUUUAAUUUCGUUUUAAUGUAUUUUAAUAUUUGUAUUGUGUGUUUUUAAUUUUGGCUGUUCACCGCCCCGAGUCCUUCAGGAGAGGGGGCGGUAUAAAAAUUUAAUAAAUAAAUAAAUAAAUAAAAUAAAAUAUCAUUCAUGGACUAGCAAUAUAUAUUAACGUUUCAUCUAGAUUAGUAAAACAGAAUAAAAUAUAAAUGUUAAAAAGCUCUAUCUUCAAAUACCGAUGUCUAGCCAUCUAAUCAUUGACGCUCAGCAUCAUUUAUAUGAAAACAAUCAGAUACUGGCCUGGUACAUGCCCUCAGUUUACAGCUGGUCAUGAUGCAAUCUACAGUUUGAUGUGGGACUCACAGUCAGACUGAGGGGAGGAUACUAUGCCCCAGUUAUAUAGAGAGUCAUAUGAGGUGUGAAUUCUAUUCAGGAUUAUCCAUUGCUAAUGGUUUAGUUCAAGGCCUGGCACCUAUUUUAUGGGGUCAUUUAUAUGUCUGCUUAUGUCUGGGCAUUCAGCGACCCAUUUGGCUUUCCAUUGGGAAUCAAUGUUAAGGUUGUUGUGCAGGUGCCAAUGGGGGCUUCCUGGAUUUCAGACUUCCUGCUGAUAAGUGAGGAAAAUCGGUGUGCACCGGUAGGGAAGAAACCCCACAAUGUUUACAAGCAAUAGUUCAAUUGCGACCACAAUUGGGAAUAGCAAUUCAAGUCUAAAUAUACCAGUCACUAAGUGAAACUAGCUGCCCACAUCAUAUUGUAACUCCAAGUAUUUGGGAGACCACCAAAACAUGCCAGGAUUGUACACUCGACUGAGAAACUGAAAACGCAUUCUGGACAUCAAACCACCUCUGCAUUGCUGCCAUGAAAAUUACAUGGAUCUGUCCAUAUCACCAAGCUUCAUGAAGGUUUUAUCUUUUACAUACAGGACAGAAAUAUCAGCAAUUUCUCUGCUGUUGAAUAAAUGUGCCAUCAAUCCUU